This 490-nucleotide ribosomal RNA is filed under the name Pseudomonas sp. HMSC064G05. RNAcentral describes it as "bacterial SSU rRNA". It matches the Rfam family "Bacterial small subunit ribosomal RNA", at positions 443 to 924 of the family's 1533-position model. The record is from RNAcentral. Lineage: Bacteria; Pseudomonadati; Pseudomonadota; Gammaproteobacteria; Pseudomonadales; Pseudomonadaceae.
GGAGGAGGCUACUUUAGUUAAUACCUAGAGAUAGUGGACGUUACUCGCAGAAUAAGCACCGGCUAACUCUGUGCCAGCAGCCGCGGUAAUACAGAGGGUGCGAGCGUUAAUCGGAUUUACUGGGCGUAAAGCGUGCGUAGGCGGCUUAUUAAGUCGGAUGUGAAAUCCCCGAGCUUAACUUGGGAAUUGCAUUCGAUACUGGUGAGCUAGAGUAUGGGAGAGGAUGGUAGAAUUCCAGGUGUAGCGGUGAAAUGCGUAGAGAUCUGGAGGAAUACCGAUGGCGAAGGCAGCCAUCUGGCCUAAUACUGACGCUGAGGUACGAAAGCAUGGGGAGCAAACAGGAUUAGAUACCCUGGUAGUCCAUGCCGUAAACGAUGUCUACUAGCCGUUGGGGCCUUUGAGGCUUUAGUGGCGCAGCUAACGCGAUAAGUAGACCGCCUGGGGAGUACGGUCGCAAGACUAAAACUCAAAUGAAUUGACGGGGGCCCGC